UACGUAGGGUGCGAGCGUUAAUCGGAAUUACUGGGCGUAAAGGGCUCGUAGGCGGCCAACUAAGUCAGACGUGAAAUCCCUCGGCUUAACCGGGGAACUGCGUCUGAUACUGGAUGGCUUGAGUUUGGGAGAGGGAUGCGGAAUUCCAGGUGUAGCGGUGAAAUGCGUAGAUAUCUGGAGGAACACCGGUGGCGAAGGCGGCAUCCUGGACCAAUACUGACGCUGAGGAGCGAAAGCCAGGGGAGCAAACGGG
RNAcentral lists this ribosomal RNA (253 nucleotides) under uncultured bacterium. RNAcentral describes it as "partial 16S ribosomal RNA". It matches the Rfam family "Bacterial small subunit ribosomal RNA", at positions 524 to 776 of the family's 1533-position model. The record is from RNAcentral.